This 293-nucleotide ribosomal RNA is filed under the name uncultured bacterium. RNAcentral's name for it is "partial 16S ribosomal RNA". It matches the Rfam family "Archaeal small subunit ribosomal RNA", at positions 455 to 747 of the family's 1478-position model. The record is from RNAcentral.
GUGCCAGCAGCCGCGGUAAUACCGGCAGCCCGAGUGUUGGCCGAUCUUAUUGGGCCUAAAGCGUCCGUAGCCGGCCGGACAAGUCCGUUGGGAAAUCGACGCGCCUAACGCGUCGGCGUCCAGCGGAAACUGUCCGGCUUGGGGCCGGAAGAUCCGAGGGGUACGUCCGGGGUAGGAGUGAAAUCCCGUAAUCCUGGACGGACCGCCGAUGGGGAAACCACCUCAGGAAAACGGAUCCGACAGUGAGGGACGAAAGCCAGGGUCUCCAACCGGAUUAGAAACCCGUGUAGUCC